UGAAAAUAACAGUAAGGGACAUACCAUAGGGCAAGGGAGCUUUGGACCUGUUCAAGGCUUCCCUCAUGGCAUCUAUCAUCAGGAAGAGAAGAUUCAGGAGAGUCUCUAAAACUACAUGGUGCAUCAGACAAAUAUCUCUUUGCUUCAUCAGAUCAUAUCUUCCUCCUCUGGAGAAAAAAAUUCUAGACACCAUGUGGUGGAGUAGCCUCAUCUCCACACUAAGAUCUUUGGCCUCAAUCUUCAAGAUCCCUUCCACAUCAUCUCUCCCUAGUAUGAUCCUAAGACCAAUCUCUUUCUUAGAUAAUUCAUCUAAACAACUACCCUCACA
This 328-nucleotide long non-coding RNA is filed under the name Elaeis guineensis (African oil palm). RNAcentral describes it as "long non-coding RNA (EGUI_LNC002515)". Lineage: Eukaryota; Viridiplantae; Streptophyta; Magnoliopsida; Arecales; Arecaceae. The record is from RNAcentral.